RNAcentral lists this small RNA (3999 nucleotides) under uncultured Chroococcidiopsis sp. RNAcentral describes it as "bacterial LSU rRNA". The stretch from base 1566 to 3999 matches the Rfam family "Bacterial large subunit ribosomal RNA", at positions 1 to 2457 of the family's 2925-position model. The record is from RNAcentral. Lineage: Bacteria; Bacillati; Cyanobacteriota; Cyanophyceae; Chroococcidiopsidales; Chroococcidiopsidaceae.
CGAAAGCCUGACGGAGCAAUACCGCGUGAGGGAGGAAGGCUCUUGGGUUGUAAACCUCUUUUCUCAGGGAAGAAGAUCUGACGGUACCUGAGGAAUCAGCAUCGGCUAACUCCGUGCCAGCAGCCGCGGUAAUACGGAGGAUGCAAGCGUUAUCCGGAAUGAUUGGGCGUAAAGCGUCCGUAGGUGGCAAUUCAAGUCUGCUGUCAAAGCUCAGGGCUUAACCCUGAAUCGGCGGUGGAAACUGAACAGCUAGAGUGCGGUAGGGGCAGAGGGAAUUCCCAGUGUAGCGGUGAAAUGCGUAGAGAUUGGGAAGAACACCGGUGGCGAAAGCGCUCUGCUAGACCGCAACUGACACUCAUGGACGAAAGCUAGGGGAGCGAAUGGGAUUAGAUACCCAGUAGUCCUAGCCGUAAACGAUGGAUACUAGGCGUUGCGAGAAUCGACCCUCGCAGUGUCGUAGCUAACGCGUUAAGUAUCCCGCCUGGGGAGUACGCUCGCAAGAGUGAAACUCAAAGGAAUUGACGGGGGCCCGCACAAGCGGUGGAGUAUGUGGUUUAAUUCGAUGCAACGCGAAGAACCUUACCAGGACUUGACAUGUCGCGAAUCCUGCCGAAAGGUGGGAGUGCCUUCGGGAGCGCGAACACAGGUGGUGCAUGGCUGUCGUCAGCUCGUGUCGUGAGAUGUUGGGUUAAGUCCCGCAACGAGCGCAACCCUCGUGCUUAGUUGCCAGCAUUAAGUUGGGCACUCUAAGCAGACUGCCGGUGACAAACCGGAGGAAGGUGGGGAUGACGUCAAGUCAUCAUGCCCCUUACGUCCUGGGCUACACACGUACUACAAUGCUACGGACAAAGAGAAGCAAAACAGCGAUGUCAAGCAAAUCUCGUAAACCGUGGCUCAUUUCAUAUCGCAGGCUGCAACUCGCCUGCGUGAAGGCGGAAUCGCUAGUAAUCCCAGAUCAGCAUGGCUGGGGUGAAUACGUUCCCGGGCCUUGUACACACCGCCCGUCACACCAUGGAAGCUGGCAGUGCCCGAAGUCGUUACCCUAACCCUUGUGGAGGGGGACGCCGAAGGUGUUGGCUGGUGACUGGGGGUGAAGUCGUAACAAGGUAGCCGUACCGGGAAGGUGUGGCUGGAUCACCUCCUUAACAGGGAGACCUACUUCAUCGAGACCCAACCGAUUGAUAUUAAGUCCGAUAGAAGUCAUCCCAGGUCGAGCGAGAUUGGAAACGCUGGCUUUCAAACUAUAUUCGGUUCGGUAAAAAGUUCGCGCAAUCCGUGCUUCCUAGUUCGGUUGUGCCCACUCAGCAACCCUGAUUGGGUUGUUAAAGUAGGAGAGUGCGGUAAUAAGCACUGCCCUUUGGCAAUAAACUUAAAGAUUUAAAUUAAUCGGAUAAACGAAUUCAGCAUCAGGCGAUAACAGCUUGAAUGCUGGACUAGUGUCCAGUCAGAACCUUGAAAACUGCAUAGCAAUUUGUCAAAUGUAAUGAGAUCGCAUUACUCUAUCAGUUCACUAACUGGUAGUUGAAUGCAUCAAUUGCAGGUAGACACCAAUGUUUAAAAAAAGUGGUCAAGCGAAUAAGGGCUUAUGGUGGAUACCUCGGCACACAGAGGCGAAGAAGGACGUGGCAACCGACGAAAUACUCCGGGGAGCUGGCAGCAAGCAUCGAGCCCGGAGAUGUCCGAAUGGGGCAACCCUAAAUACAGCCUGUUGAAUACAUAGACAGGCAUGAGCCAACCUGGCGAACUGAAACAUCUAGUAGCCAGAGGAAAAGAAAGAAAACUCGAUUCCCCAGUAGUGGUGAGCGAACGGGGAAGAGCCUAAACCAGUUGAUUUUUCAGCUGGGGUUGUGGGACAGCGACAUGGAAUACCGGGAAGCUAGACGAAGCAAGUGACAUACUGCACCAGAGAAGGUUAUAGUCCUGUAGUCGAAAGUGGAAGGAUACUAGCUGCAUCCCGAGUAGCACGGGCCACGUGGAAUCCCGUGUGAAUCUGCGAGGACCAUCUCGUAAGGCUAAAUACUACUGUGUGACCGAUAGUGAACCAGUGCCGCGUGGGAAAGGUGAAAAGAACCCCGCAAGGGGAGUGAAAUAGAACAUGAAACCGUAAGCUUACAAGCAGUGGGAGGACGAUUCAACGUCUGACCGCGUGCCUGUUGAAGAAUGAGCCGGCGACUUAAUAGCAGUGGCAGGUUAAAGCAUUUUGUGCUGAAGCCAAAGCGAAAGCGAGUCUGAAAAGGGCGCAAUUAAUUUUAGUCACUGUUAUUAGACCCGAACCCGGGUGAUCUAACCAUGUCCAGGAUGAAGCUUGGGUAACACCAAGUGGAGGUCCGCACCGACCGAUGUUGAAAAAUCGGCGGAUGAGGUGUGGUUAGGGGUGAAAUGCCAAUCGAACCCCGGAGCUAGCUGGGUUCUCCCCCGAAAUGUGUUGAGGCGCAGCGGUUGUGAAUAUAGUCUGGGGGUAAAGCACUGUUUCGGUGCGGGGCUGCGGUAAGCGGUACCAAAUCGAGACAAACUCUGAAUACCAGGCGCACACACAACUAGUGAGACGGUGGGGGAUAAGCUUCAUCGUCAAGAGGGAAACAGCCCAGACCACCAGCUAAGGUCCCCAAAUUGGUACUAAGUGGCUAAGGAGGUGGGAGUGCAAAGACAACCAGGAGGUUUGCCUAGAAGCAGCCAUCCUUGAAAGAGUGCGUAAUAGCUCACUGGUCAAGCGCUCCUGCGCCGAAAAUGAAUGGGACUAAGUGCUAUACCGAAGCUGUGGGAUAUGAAAAUAUCGGUAGGGGAGCGUUCUGUAGUAGGAAGAAGCACUAGCGGCAAGCAGGUGAUGGACGAAGCUAGAAGUGAGAAUGUCGGCUUGAGUAGCGAAAACAUUGGUGAGAAUCCAAUGCCCCGAAACCCCAAGGGUUCCUCCGGCAGGCUCGUCCGCGGAGGGUUAGUCAGGACCUAAGGCGAGGCCAAACGGCGUAGUCGAUGGACAACGGGUCAACAAUCCCGUACUGAUUAUCAGUUGUGCAGAGGGACGGAGAAGGCAAAUGCCAGCCGGAUGUUGGUUACCGGUUCAACCGUCAAGGCGAUGAGAAGCGGCGAAAACGCUUCGAGCGAAGGCGGGAGUACGAGACCCUACGGGGUCGAAGCGGCAUAGUCUAGCUUCCAAGAAAAGCUCUAAACACGUUAACUGAUAGUUACCUGUACCCGAAACCGACACAGGUGGGGAGGUUGAGAAAACGGGCAGGGAGGCGCGAGAUAACUCUCUCUAAGGAACUCGGCAAAAUGGCCCCGUAACUUCGGAAGAAGGGGUGCCAGCGAGAGCUGGUCGCAGUGAAGAGAUCCAGGCGACUGUUUACCAAAAACACAGGUCUCCGCAAAGUCAAAUGACGACGUAUGGGGGCUGACGCCUGCCCAGUGCCGGAAGGUUAAAGAAGUCGGUCAGGGCCUUGUGCCUAAAGCUGGCGACUGAAGCCCCGUUGCUCGGCGGCCGUAACUAUAACGGUCCUAAGGUAGCGAAAUUCCUUGUCGGGUAAGUUCCGACCCGCACGAAAGGCGUAACGAUCUGGAUGGUGUCUCAGAGAGAGACUCGGCGAAAUAGGAAUGUCUGUGAAGAUACGGACUACCUGCACCAGGACAGAAAGACCCUAUGAAGCUUUACUGUAGCCUGGAAUGGAGUUCAGGCUUUGCUUGCGCAGGAUAGGUGGGAGGCGAUGAAGCUACCCUUGUGGGGGUAGUGGAGCCAAUGGUGAGAUACCACUCUGGCGAAGCUAGAAUUCUAACCGCUUGCCGUCAGCCGGCAGUGGAACAGUUUCAGGUGGGCAGUUUGACUGGGGCGGUCGCCUCCUAAAGUGUAACGGAGGCGCGCAAAGGUUCCCUCAGGCUGGUUGGAAAUCAGCCGCAGAGUGUAAAAGCACAAGGGAGCUUGACUGCAAGAGUUACAACUCGAGCAGGGACGAAAGUCGGCUUUAGUGAUCCGACGGUUCCGAGUGGAAGGGCCGUCGCUCAACGGAU